Molecule: ribosomal RNA, 427 nt
Filed under: uncultured bacterium
Lineage: Bacteria
Description: bacterial SSU rRNA
Rfam family: Bacterial small subunit ribosomal RNA
Source: RNAcentral
UGGGGAAUUUUGGACAAUGGGCGCAAGCCUGAUCCAGCCAUUCCGCGUGCAGGACGAAGGCCUUCGGGUUGUAAACUGCUUUUGUACGGAACGAAAAGCCCUUCUCUAAUACAGAGGGGUCAUGACGGUACCGUAAGAAUAAGCACCGGCUAACUACGUGCCAGCAGCCGCGGUAAUACGUAGGGUGCAAGCGUUAAUCGGAAUUACUGGGCGUAAAGCGUGCGCAGGCGGUGAUGUAAGACAGAUGUGAAAUCCCCGGGCUCAACCUGGGAACUGCGUUUGUGACUGCAUCACUCGAGUACGGCAGAGGGAGGUGGAAUUCCGCGUGUAGCAGUGAAAUGCGUAGAUAUGCGGAGGAACACCGAUGGCGAAGGCAAUCCCCUAGGCCUGCACUGACGCUCAUGCACGAAAGCGCGGGGAGCAAACA